Vespula pensylvanica (western yellowjacket) is the source of this 3801-nucleotide RNA transcript. It is a transcript of the gene named potential E3 ubiquitin-protein ligase ariadne-2, with no coding region annotated. The transcript is spliced from 17 exons. The record is from RefSeq and is a predicted model, not a curated record. Lineage: Eukaryota; Metazoa; Arthropoda; Insecta; Hymenoptera; Vespidae.
AAUAUGUACUGUUUUUAUCGAAAGAUGAGAUAUUGAACAAUUGUUUUAUCUGUAUUAAUAUAAUAUUUAUAUAAAAAAAAACUAUUUAGAAAAAAAUUAGAUUAACUCUAAUAUUAAUUUUGUACGAUAUAUACGUUAUUUUAUUUUUACUAUUUCUUUUAUCUCAUGAAGGUUUCUACUCAUUAACGUUUCUACUGGAUACGUAACAAUAACAAUAACAAUGUGUUUACAUAAACGAUAAAAUGUUUCUUUACGUUUGUCAUCGGCGUGUAACCGAAGUAUUAUCGAUCAGUAAUGUCGUUGCAUAAAUUCAAUUCCUUAUACGACGAUUACUUUUCUGAGAAUACGCAACAUGUGCCUUAUGUGGAAGAAGAAUUAUAUUCUUUUAAUAUAUAAUAUAGAAAAAAUAUAAAAAAUAUAAGCAACUUUUAAUAAUUAAAUAUAUCUCUGAAUCCGAGAAUAUAUUUGUUUAUUAUCAAGAUGUGUAAUGAUGGAUCAAGUGAUCAUGAUUGUCAGCAACUAAAAAAAGGAUUUUAUAGAAAUUUCUUCGAACCCGAUCAAACAAAUACUAAUGAGUUUCUUCUAAAUCGUAAUUUUAAUAGUACUGCGGGAAAAUUAAUCGAAGAAGCCAAUAAAGUUGUUGUUAAAAAUUUAGAGGAUUCUAUAAUCAUGAACAAAUCUUUUGUUAUGGGACCAAGUAAACAAAUUUUACUGAGCUACAAAUUUGGAAAUGCUAUAAAAUUUUUUGAAUUAUGGAACAAAUAUAUACCAGAUCGUAUGAAAACAUGUAAAGAGUACAAAAUCUUAACGCUUAAAUUACAUGUAUAUUUUGUCAUUUUACCUAAAUCUAUGUUAAUUUUAAUCCAACAAAAAAAUCAUAAUAAAGACAAAAACACACCUGCAGCAGCCUCUACUAAAGAGGAUUCUUCUUUCUUAGAAAUAGAGAAGCAUACAACCAAACUUGAAAAAGAUUUUAACAAAAAUAUGACAAGGCUACAACAAUAUUUGAAUACAGAUGGUAAAGAAUUAAAAUAUGAAACUCAAUUAAGAGCAUUCUUUGCAUUACCUUAUAUAGAAGAUCCAUUGUCUGAUCCAUUAUUUCGUGAAAUACUUAAUAAGUCUUGGACAGAAAAAUUAUCUAUACAUUUGCAAGAAUUUAUUGCAAAGUAUGUACAGGAUAGUGAAAAGAAUGAAGAAAUUAUGGAUAAUUACAUUGAAUCAAGUAAGAUGUCUGAGAUUGAUAUAACUACUUCAACAAUUCCUUGUAAAAUAUCUAAUACAGAUAAUUCAGAAAAAAUUGUUACCAAAAAUAAUGUACCAAUUAAGCCGAAUGACAGAGAUGUACCUGACUUUUUAGAAGAUAAAAGUGAAGAACAACUUAAUAUUUCUUAUGAAAGAAAAUAUAAUAUGGAAUCAAAAGGUACACAGACACAGAAUAAUUUAAUAAAAGAUUAUCCACAGUAUUAUUUAGUAGAAAACACAGAUCAUCAAAAUAUUUAUAGAUACAAUCCAAAAUUAAUACCAUAUAAUCAAGAAUUAGCAUUAACAAAAUCCCAUUUAUAUAAUCUUCAUUCUAAUCAUAAAAAAUUAAAAUCUCGAUUUCAUAAAUUACAUGGAGAUUAUCAUAAACUUCUAAGUAUAGCUGCAGAGUUAACAGCAGUUCUUGAAAAUUCAGUAAAAGGUCAACCUGUUGAUCUACAAGGAAUGUUAGAAUCUUGUAUGAAGAUAUUUCCAGAUUUAUUUAAUCAAAACAUAAGAGAUGAAUUUCAAGUAAAAGUACAACAGUCCAAUGAUACAAAUAAACGAGAUAUUAUGCAGCCUAAUUUUAAUAUCAUUAAUAUAUCACCAAAGUUAUUAGAUUUUAAAAAGAUUAAAUUACAUUUAAUAAAUGGAAAUGUAAAGACAAAAUUACUUCUCUUGCAAGCAUUACGAUGGAAAAUUACUUUAAGUCAACCUGGAGAACGUGAUGAAGCUAUACACGAAUAUAUAAGUAGAGAUUUAUUAGGAUUACAUGGUCAGAUUGCCAGUGAUAAUGGAAGAUCAAUUUUACCGUAUUUAUUAACACCAGAAAAUGUUCCAAUGCCACAUCCAUUGCAACAAUCUGCAGCUAGAUUGUUAAAUACUUUUGCUUCCUUACAAUGUGGUAGAGAUUAUUUAUCCAUGGAUUCAUCUAUAGUUAGGGUGAUAUUUAAUUGCCUCAAUGACAACUACCACGAUGGAAUAGAUUCUCUCACUUAUGACAUGACACUGUCUACUUUACAAAAAUUAUCAUUGCGCAAGCAGCAAAGACUAUAUAUGAUAGAUAGUGGACUGCUGGAAUGGUUGGUUUAUCAUCUACAUAAUGAAAGUAAUACAAUGAGUUUUUAUAGAUUAAAAUAUGCAACAGCUCUUUUGAUGAAUUUAUCAUUGCAUAAACAAGCUCAGAUUAGAAUAUCUACAACAGCAUCAUUACUUAUAUCAACUCUUAUAAUGCUUCUGGCAGUUGAUCAUCCUUCUGUAUCACCAUAUGUUAAUGGAGCAUUAAAUAAUUUUCUUGUAAAUGAUCAAAUAAAUAAUGAAGCAAAACAUGUAAAUCUUUCAUCUAUAUUAGAACAAUUAUGUAAGAAUAAAAUUGGAGAAAUGAGGAAAUAUCUGGAACACAUUUUGAAAGUACACAAACGUGAAUGUACUAUUGACAUUGAAGAUGAAGCAAUUUCAGAUAAUGAUAAUGAAGAAUUUGAUGUAUUGGAAAAUGAAUUAGAGGAGGAUGAUCCUGUUAAAAAUCAUAAAGCAGAGUUAUAUGGGGAAGUAUUGUUGUCAACAUGUUACAUGAUUACACCAGAUUUAUUUCAGAAAGAAUCUAUAGUUAUUGAUAAAGUCUUGGCAAAAUCCUCUGAUACAAAAUUACUGCCUGUACAAAGCAAUAAGAAACAUAAUCAGUCUUGUAGUAAUACUAGUUUGACAUUACUUGAACAUGUUCCAAGAUCCACAUGGAAAGAAAAAAGAGAAAAAAGCAAAGAUAAAUUAGUUAAUCAAAAUAAUAGUAUGUUGAAAUUAUCUAAAAGCAAAAUAAUCCCAAAUAAAAAACGUACAAAUAAUUUUGACAAUACUUCACAAACAAUACAAUUGUCUAGUGAAUCUAAUAUGAUUUGUUAUAAACAUACUGAAAAAAUUGUGUCAGAUAAUGUAUCAAACAAUCUUGGUGAAAAUAUGACAAAUUUAGCUUGUGUAUCUAAAAAACAUAAUACAGUGAAUGUACAAUAUGCAGAAGAAGAAAAACAAAAUGACAAAGGAUUGACUAAUCCAAAUUCUAAAAAAAUGAGCACAUUUAAGCAAAAUUAUUUAAAGAAAACUGUGACCGAUGAUCUUACAGUAUAUUUAUAUGAAAAUCAAACUUCCAAAGAAAGUAGUACAAUGACAAUAUCAUCUUCAAUGACUUUAGAAUCUGCACAAGAAAAUAAAAAAGAACUAGAAAACUUCAGCAGUAUUGCAUCAUUGUGAGUGAGAAAUAAUGAAAUCGUUAUAAAUUUUGUUUUUGUAUAUUUUUUGACAUUACAAAUUCCACGAUUUUACGUAUAUGAAUUGUCUCCUUAAGUUGAAGGAAUAACAUAAACAAUGAUGACGACAAAUUACUUGAUAAUGCUACCAAUGCAAUCAAAUUUAAAUGCUAUAAAGAAGAAGAAGCAUUCUUGGCUAAACCAAAAAUUUCAAGAACGCCUCCUUGCUUACAUUAAUGUGCAUGCGUGCGUAUAACACGACUGAAAAUAUGAACCUAUAAACAAAUGAUAGCGAAUAAUAAAAAUUCAAUUACUUAACAAAAAA